This 314-nucleotide long non-coding RNA is filed under the name Setaria viridis. RNAcentral describes it as "long non-coding RNA (SVIR_LNC009145)". Lineage: Eukaryota; Viridiplantae; Streptophyta; Magnoliopsida; Poales; Poaceae. The record is from RNAcentral.
GGAGGUAGAGUUUCUUGGGGCUUCUGAGACAGGUUGGGAUUGGGAUGGUGUGGAAUUGCUUGGUGGUAGGGCUGUAUGUGCGGGGGAAGAGGCCAAUUCAUCAGUUGUGGGAAGUUAGCGAAGUUGGGCUGAUUGUGGUAGAAGGUUGGGUGUGGGUAUAAAGUUGUGUGGUGGAUUGCUUUGGGCGUCUGCGCGGCUGCCUUCGCAACUUCUUCCGCAGCUUUUCUCUCUUCUUCCUUCUUUUUGGGGCACCACUCUGUGUUGUGAUGAUUCUGAUGGCCGUGGUUGACACAGUAAAAUGACUUUGGUUGUCU